AUUGAACGCUGGCGGAAUGCUUUACACAUGCAAGUCGAACGGCAGCACGGACUUCGGUCUGGUGGCGAGUGGCGAACGGGUGAGUAAUGUAUCGGAACGUGCCCAGUCGCGGGGGAUAACGUAGUGAAAAUUACGCUAAUACCGCAUACGAACUAGGGAUGAAAGCGUGGGAUCGCAAGACCUCGCGCGGUUGGAGCGGCCGAUAUCAGAUUAGGUAGUUGGUGGGGUAAAGGCCCGCCAAGCCAACGAGCCGUAGCUGGUCUGAGAGGACGACCAGCCACACUGGAACUGAGACACGGUCCAAACUCCUACGGGAGGCAGCAGUAGGGAAUUUUGGACAAUGGGCGAAAGCCUGAUCCAGCCAUUCCGCGUGCAGGAUGAAGGCCCUCGUGUUGUAAACUGCUUUUGUACAGAACGAAAAGCUUUCUACUAGUACUAGGAGCUCAUGACGGUACUGUAAGAAUAAGCACUGGCUAACUACGUGCCAGCCGCCGCGGUAA
RNAcentral lists this ribosomal RNA (500 nucleotides) under uncultured bacterium. RNAcentral describes it as "partial 16S ribosomal RNA". It matches the Rfam family "Bacterial small subunit ribosomal RNA", at positions 30 to 523 of the family's 1533-position model. The record is from RNAcentral.